Molecule: ribosomal RNA, 465 nt
Filed under: uncultured bacterium
Lineage: Bacteria
Description: partial 16S ribosomal RNA
Rfam family: Bacterial small subunit ribosomal RNA
Source: RNAcentral
GACGAACGCUGGCGGCGUGCUUAACACAUGCAAGUCGAACGGAAAGGCCCUGCUUGCAGGGUACUCGAGUGGCGAACGGGUGAGUAACACGUGGGUGAUCUGCCCUGCACUUCGGGAUAAGCCUGGGAAACUGGGUCUAAUACCGGAUAGGAGCCAUUUUUAGUGUGAUGGUUGGAAAGUUUUUUCGGUGUAGGAUGAGCUCGCGGCCUAUCAGCUUGUUGGUGGGGUAAUGGCCUACCAAGGCGGCGACGGGUAGCCGGCCUGAGAGGGUGGACGGCCACAUUGGGACUGAGAUACGGCCCAGACUCCUACGGGAGGCAGCAGGGGGGAAUAUUGCACAAUGGGAGCAAGCCUGAUGCAGCGACGCCGCGUGGGGGAUGACGGCCUUCGGGUUGUAAACUCCUUUCGCUAGGGACGAAGCUUUUUGUGACGGUACCUAGAUGAGAAGCACCGGCUAACUACGUG